Molecule: long non-coding RNA, 2388 nt
Organism: Phlebotomus papatasi
Lineage: Eukaryota; Metazoa; Arthropoda; Insecta; Diptera; Psychodidae
Exons: 2
Source: RefSeq, a predicted model, not a curated record
ACAAUUUGUAUGAACCUUCAACCCUUUUAUACUUUAGAAGAGGAAAAUCAAUUAAAGUAAUAGUUUCUCACUAAUUUGUUAAUAUUUUAGUUGUUUUAGUUAAACAAGUAGUUCUUUGAACAUAAUUGUUCUUGUUAAAUUUAUUUACUCAUUAUUAAUAUUAUUUGUGGCCAAAAAAACGUUACACUGAGAAAAAACGGGGGUGCGAUUAACUUUUUUUUCCUCAUAACUUUAACACAUUUUAGGUGUAAAAAUAUAUCAACAUUUUUUAAUGUUAAUUUUACACCUUUUUAAGCAUAAAAUUAACAUGGGAAAAGGGUAACUUUAACCCCUAAUACACCUAAAAAGCGUAAUAUUUACAUCGAUUUAGGAUCAAUACUUUAGGGUAAAAUAAACAUUUCUGGAAUGUUGUUUUAACUUUUUCUAAUUUCUCUCAGUGUAAGUUCAGUAAUUUAGAGGUAAUCUUGUAUGAAGUGAAGCUUCGGUAUCGGGAGUAUUACGCUAAGGUCCUCAAAAGCCAUUCGAAGGAAAUUGUUAUGUCCAGAAAUCUCUAUUUGAGAUGACUUCAUACAGAUUUUCGCCAAGAUUCUAUGAUAGAGAGUGGAUUCAGGAGCCUUUUUGCAACUGUUUCUUAAGUAUAAUUACUCGUAAUAUGCUUAUUUCUCAAUUUUCUAAAUCUAUUUUAAUUCAAAAAGAAAAGGCUGAUGAUCGUCGGAUAGGGAGGAAGGUUUAGACUUAGACCUAGAUCUGAAUAAACAUUCCUUUCUUACACAGUAAAAAAAAUGUCUAACAUUUUACGACUAUAAUAGUACAAAAUCGACCAUUUUAGUUGUUUAAUUUAAAAACGUUUAAAAAAUACACAAUACAUAAUUUGGUAAUGUAUUGUCACUUGAUUGAAAAUUACAACUAUUAUAGUUGAAAAAUUUUCAACAACGUUGUUUAAUUUGAAAAUGUGUAAAAUUUUAACACUAUAAUAGUGUGAAAUCGGAUAAAUUAAUUAUUUAAUUGCUAUCUGUGUAAAGUUUCUCACUAUUAUAGUCAUAAAAAAUUUUCAACAAUGUUUUGUAAUUUAAAACUGUUGAAAAAUACUAAAAAUUACCCAAAUUACCACUUUUAUAGUAUGAUUAUAGUUUUUCACAUUAUUAUAGUGUAAAAAAAAUACACAACUUUAUGGUAUUUUUUGUCACAUGAUCAAAAAUUAACACUAUUAUAGUUUGAUCAUAAUUUUUCACACUAUUAUAGUGUGAAGCCUUGUGUAUUUCAACCAAAGUUGUUGAUUUCUUAAACAAAAGUUGUUGAAUUUUUAAACAAAAGUUGUGUAAAAAUUGUUGAAUUUCUAUUUAAGACAUAUUCUUCAGCCGAGAUGCUUUUCAUUGGGAAAAAGUCAUAUAGAACAUCAAAUAUUUAUAUGCAUAAUAAGUAUAUCAUGAAGAUCCGAGCAUCAGAUGUAAUCAUUUCGCAUUAGGGGGGAUUAGAGUACAGGAAAAACCAAUAAAAAUGUCUAAAAAUGCAAAAAAAAUCAAAAUCUUCGAAUUGAAAAAAAAAUUCAACAAUAAACAGAAUUCAACAAUUUUUGGGUUUACACAUAAAAAUUCAACAAUUUUUAAAUUCAACAAUUCCAAAUUCAACAUCUUGAAAUUCAACACUUGUGUAGUAACUUAAAGCGUGUCCACGAUAAAAUUUUCCAAAUGAUUUGAUAUUUUUAUGACAAAUGUCACUAGCGCAUUUUCGUUGUGUAAACAUAUUGUAACACGUGUUUUUACCUUUCUUUUGGUGAAACUCUCAACAAAUUCUGUUCAUUUUUCACUGAGAUACGAAAUAAUAAUGGAAAAGAGAAGAGAACUGAUCAUGUACACGUAUCUAAAAAAAUCUGGAAUCAACUACGCAGACCUUGGAAAACUCACAAAUACCUUACGCCAGACCGCCCGGAGGGUGAUUUUUCGAUUCCUCGACAGUAAAACCACUGCACAGAAACCUGGAUGUAGAUAAAAUCGGGGUAUUGGAGAUCGAGAUUUGGAGAAGAAGGUGAUCAUGCGCUACAAGAACAAUCCUUCGACAUCUGUGAGGAAUAUGAGUAAAAAAAACUUAAAUGUUCUCCCAGUCUUGUGCACAAAAUCAAACAGAGGAAUGGACUGAAGACUUUUAAAAGUCUUCAGUCUGGCUUUAGUGGAUGCAUCUUGAUGGAUGAUGAAACAUAUACGUAAAAGGAGACUUCAAACAAUUAGGAAGGGUUGUUUAUAAACUUGGCAAGGGUUUUUUUUUGUGUUUACUAAAAUUAGUGUUAAUACGUUUAAAAAUAAUAAUAAUAAUAAUAAGUUUAUUUGUUCAUGCCCAGGAUACAGAAAGUAACAUGUAGGACUAUACAAUAAAUUGAUAUAUAGAGGUGAA